RNAcentral lists this ribosomal RNA (484 nucleotides) under uncultured bacterium. RNAcentral's name for it is "partial 16S ribosomal RNA". It matches the Rfam family "Bacterial small subunit ribosomal RNA", at positions 29 to 523 of the family's 1533-position model. The record is from RNAcentral.
AAUGAACGUUGGCGGCGUGGAUUAGGCAUGCAAGUCGUACGGGUCGGUGUAGCAAUACAACGGCAAGUGGCGAAAGGGAGAGUAACACGUAGAUACCUACCCUCUGGUCGGGGAUACCGCGGCAUAACCGCAAGUAAUACCCGAUAAAAUCUCCGGCUCACAGGUGUGCUUCCGCCGGAGGAGGGUACUGCGUUCUAUCAGCUUGUUGGUGAGGUAAUGGCUCACCAAGGCUAAGACGGAUACGGGGUGUGAGAGCAUGCCCCCGCUCACUGGGACUGAGACACUGCCCAGACACCUACGGGUGGCUGCAGUCGAGAAUCUUCGGCAAUGGGCGCAAGCCUGACCGAGCGACGCCGCGUGCGGGAUGAAGGCCUUCGGGUUGUAAACCGCUGUCGAGGGGAAUGAAGUGUAGGUGGGUACUCCCAUCUAUUUGACAGAUCCCUGGAGGAAGCAUGGGCUAAGUUCGUGCCAGCCGCCGCGGUAA